CCUUUUCCUCUUCUUUCUUUUCCUUAUUUUUAUUCUUGAGUAAUGUUUCUCUUUCUAUUAAGGCCAGUUCCCUACUAGUUUGGUUAGUGUUUGUUCUUCACACCCUCUUUUUUGGAAUUUUUCCUUUAGAUUUGUUGCUUCUUGUUCAUAUUCCUCCACUCUUGUACAAUUUCGGCAUGCCCAGAUAAAUUGACUACGCGGGAUGUUUGCCCACCAACUUGCCCCUGCCCCCCAAAAUGUCUGUGUGCAUCCCUGCAAGUGUGCUUGGAAGAGUAAGAAACAGCAACCAGAUGAAUGGAGACAACCACCGGCACAAAGAGGAAGACCAAAGACCCAUGAAGACACUAUGUAACUAUGACGGGUUACUUACUUUAAGAUGGAGUUCACCAGGUCCAGAUAUUCGAAAGCACUUACUGUAGUCCAGAAGAAGAAGGAGCAUCUUAGUGCAGAAAAUAAAACAUCAAAGUAAAUCUGUCUAUGAAAAGACCUAACA
Molecule: long non-coding RNA, 493 nt
Organism: Hyla sarda
Lineage: Eukaryota; Metazoa; Chordata; Amphibia; Anura; Hylidae
Exons: 3
Source: RefSeq, a predicted model, not a curated record